This is a long non-coding RNA of Lycium ferocissimum, 2175 nucleotides long. RefSeq lists it as uncharacterized. The record is from RefSeq and is a predicted model, not a curated record. The transcript is spliced from 3 exons. NCBI's taxonomy places the organism in Eukaryota, Viridiplantae, Streptophyta, Magnoliopsida, Solanales, Solanaceae.
UGUAUUCCCUCAAAUGGAAAACCCAAUGUCCUCAUUAAGCCUGCGUUUCUAAAACAAGGGAGCAGAAGAAACCAAUGGUUGCUGAGAACCCCCGCUUUCAAUGAUCUCCAUUCUCUCGGUCGAAGCCCUUGACAAGAAUUUUCUCUCCACCGUUAUACUCCACUGGUUGCGCCAACCGCCAGAACUACAGCAAAGUACUGCCAAAAUUUUAACACCUGUGAUUAAUUUAGAUUCAAUUAGUGGAUCUUCAAGUUGGCAGAAUGACUUUGAAAAGUGGUGAAUUUUCAGGGAUAAUUGCAGGUAUUAUUGGUAUUUUUGGAAUUUCGCUGCAAGUUUUAACUCUUGAAGGUUGGGUUUUACUACCUCUGUCUGAUUGUUAUAUUAUUAGCUUCUAAAUUACAUGCAUAUGUUGCAGGGCAAGGUUCUGCAAAUAAUUUCCUCUUUUGUUUUUUGGUUAUUUUUCUCCUUUUUGCUCUUUUUCUCUUUGCAUGUUCUCAGUUUAUAUUUUUGUAUUGUUGGAAAGUUCUUAUUUCUUUUUCUUGGCAGAAGGUUGAAAUAAAAAUGUACCGAAAUUUUAUUUGAACUUACAAUUGGAUCUGCACGAGGAACCAGUAUAUGAUUUAGGAGUUAGAGUUCAUAUUUCCAAGAAAAAUAGGUAGUUUAUUACACAACUUAAGGCUUUUAGUUUCUCAAGAAGAGAAUGUGCAGUCUUGAAUAAAUGUCCAUGAAAAGUUAAAAAAAAAAGGUCUUCUGAUUUUUUCUUUGAUUAAUGAAGAUUUUUUGCAUACUAAUCUCUAUAAAUACAUUAUAGUAUGAGAAAAUAAAAAAGAGUUGUUACAAUGAUCCACAUAAAUACAUAGAUGAAUGUGGUCCUCUGUAGUUUGUACUUUAGCCUCUAUAUGCACACUUAUGUGGCUCACUAAUAAAUUAUGAGUUCACUUUUUUUUUUUUUAAUUUCAAGUUUAGGUAUUUCUUGAGAUUUGGUAGUAUGAUCUGAUGCUCCUUUCGCAAAAUAUCCUCCAAAGAAGGUACAUCAAUUAGGAUAGCUAUAGCUACAACUACAUUUUGUUUCUUGUGGAGCCACUUUAAUCAUAUUUGCAUUACAUAUUUUAUACUUCUCAGCUGUUGCUAAUGAUAAUCCAAAAUGCAACCCCCUACCUUGAUUAUGAGAGAUUAUGAGAGGAACAAAGCAUUGUCUAAGGCACUUUUUGAAAUACUUGACUCUUGACUGAUAAUGUUGUUGACGUUAGUGUUAACAUUACUCUAACACCUUGCUUUAUCUUGAAAGAAAACUUCAGUUCUGUUACUUGUGGAAAUCCUAACAUUUAAACGGGAGUUUAAUUAGUAUUUAGCUGUUAUUCAAUGGUUCAUCUAAUAGAAACAUUUUGCAUUUGGUUAUGUGUUGCUUUCUGAUGCUUUGGCGAAUACUUCGGCAAAAGAAGGCAUAGGAUGACAACAAGGUUAUGAGAUGCAGUUAAACAGAGGUUAUUUUCUUACAUCUUCUUAAAUUUCUUUCCAUUGUGCUUAUGGGGUUGUAAUACAGCAUCAGGAUAGUCCUCCAAAAGUAAAUUGCCAGAGCUACGGUUACCAAUGAAGUUUCAUGGCGCUGUGAAGAGCAAAAUUAAUAGCUAAUCAAGAAUUAAUUUUUCAGAAAUCACUUUCAUUUCCUUUCUUUCCUAUAGAAUGCCUCUACUGAGUCCCGCAUCUGCUGACUAUUGUUUGUUCUGUAGACAAAUUUGACUGGUAUAUUUUGUUAUACCUACAAGUUUGGACUUUCAGGACAAAUAUUAAAGAUACAUUCUCUUUCUAAUUGACUUCAGGAAAAGAGCACGAAGUUGGGUUUCAUUGGAAGAGUUUACCUUGAAAAGUGAUCCUACAUUUACUCUCCAACAGUGGUCGCUUGCUGAGUAAGGUUUCAAAUAGCUAAUGGUUUCACCAAGAAAAGGCCAAACCCUGUUGUCUGGUGGAAGAUUUAGGGAACUUCUGUUUUAUUCUGAAUUGAUUAAGAAUAAGAGCAACCAAGAUUGGGAAAAUAAGAAAAGCAAAAAGACAGUCAGACAUGGAGACCGGCUGAUGACUUCAUUGGCUCGAUGUAUCCUAAAUCUGUCUUUCGUCCUCAGUGACACUCGAUGCACAAAAGGCUCUAUUGCUGAAGCAGAUCUGGAAUAAGAUAGU